Molecule: transfer RNA, 79 nt
Filed under: Cordyceps militaris CM01
Lineage: Eukaryota; Fungi; Ascomycota; Sordariomycetes; Hypocreales; Cordycipitaceae
Description: tRNA-Leu (CAG) (tRNA-Leu-CAG-1-1)
Rfam family: tRNA
About the family: Transfer RNA (tRNA) molecules are approximately 80 nucleotides in length. Their secondary structure includes four short double-helical elements and three loops (D, anti-codon, and T loops).
Source: RNAcentral
GGCACUUUGGCCGAGUGGUUAAGGCGCCGUCUUCAGGUGGCGGUCCGAAAGGGCGUGGGUUCGAAUCCCACAGGUGUCA